This 253-nucleotide ribosomal RNA is filed under the name uncultured bacterium. RNAcentral's name for it is "partial 16S ribosomal RNA". It matches the Rfam family "Bacterial small subunit ribosomal RNA", at positions 524 to 776 of the family's 1533-position model. The record is from RNAcentral.
UACGUAGGGUGCGAGCGUUGUCCGGAAUUAUUGGGCGUAAAGAGCUCGUAGGCGGUUUGUCGCGUCUGCUGUGAAAACCGGAGGCUCAACCUCCGGCCUGCAGUGGGUACGGGCAAACUAGAGUGCGGUAGGGGAGAUUGGAAUUCCUGGUGUAGCGGUGAAAUGCGCAGAUAUCAGGAGGAACACCGAUGGCGAAGGCAGCUCGCUGGGACGGUACUGACGCUGAGGCGCGAAAGCGUGGGGAGCAAACAGG